This 764-nucleotide ribosomal RNA is filed under the name uncultured bacterium. Its description in RNAcentral is "bacterial SSU rRNA". It matches the Rfam family "Bacterial small subunit ribosomal RNA", at positions 615 to 1379 of the family's 1533-position model. The record is from RNAcentral.
UGGGAACUGCGUUNUGAACUGGGUGACUAGAGUGUGUCAGAGGGAGGUAGAAUUCCACGUGUAGCAGUGAAAUGCGUAGAGAUGUGGAGGAAUACNGAUGGCGAAGGCAGCCUCCUGGGAUAACACUGACGUUCAUGCCCGAAAGCGUGGGUAGCAAACAGGAUUAGAUACCCUGGUAGUNCACGCCCUAAACGAUGUCGAUUAGCUGUUGGGCAGCAUGACUGCUUAGUAGCGAAGCUAACGCGUGAAAUCGACCGCCUGGGGAGUACGGUCGCAAGAUUAAAACUCAAAGGAAUUGACGGGGACCCGCACAAGCGGUGGAUGAUGUGGAUUAAUUCGAUGCAACGCGAAGAACCUUACCUGGUCUUGACAUGUACGGAACCCUCCAGAGACGGAGGGGUGCCUUCGGGAGCCGUAACACAGGUGCUGCAUGGCUGUCGUCAGCUCGUGUCGUGAGAUGUUGGGUNNANNAANNNNANCGAGCGCAACCCUUGUCAUUAGUUGCCAUCAUUAAGUUGGGCACUCUAAUGAGACUGCCGGUGACAAGCNGGAGGAAGGUGGGGAUGACGUCAAGUCCUCAUGGCCCUUAUGACCAGGGCUUCACACGUCAUACAAUGGUCGGUACAGUGGGUAGCCAAGCCGCGAGGUGGAGCCAAUCUCACAAAACCGAUCGUAGUCCGGAUUGCACUCUGCAACUCGAGUGCAUGAAGUCGGAAUCGCUAGUAAUCGCAGGUCAGCAUACUGCGGUGAAUACGUUCCCGGGU